UGACUGUCCUGUAUGGUGGCCUUGCUAAUGGUUUGUCUCUGUUCAGGAGGAUCUGUGGUUGCCUGCUUUUCCAAUUGGGACUGAGAAAACACUAGAAGAAGGUGGGGAGCUUUAUGAGAAGACGGUUUACUUGUUUGGAAGCACUGAGCUGCAACUAUUGGAUGUUAAUGGUCAAUCGAAGCGGAUGGUAUAUAUUCCUGUUGCAGUUGCUGUAGACUGUCCUUUCAACCAUCAGACAAAAUUUGAAUAAAUUCUAUUCAAAGGGAAAAUGAAGAAAUAGUACCGAUAAAAGCGAUGAAGAUGGCAUGGGUUCUAUUAUGUUCCUCUUGCGGAUAACUGCAGUUGCCUCAUUUGUGGUAAUCAAAUGUGGCUGUAGUUUAGUGGUGAGAAUUCCACGUUGUGGCCGUGGAGACCUGGGCUCGAAUCCCAGCAGCCACACAUUUGAUGAACCAUUUU
This is a long non-coding RNA of Setaria italica (foxtail millet), 456 nucleotides long. RefSeq lists it as uncharacterized. The record is from RefSeq and is a predicted model, not a curated record. The transcript has 4 exons. Lineage: Eukaryota; Viridiplantae; Streptophyta; Magnoliopsida; Poales; Poaceae.